GAUGAACGCUAGCUACAGGCUUAACACAUGCAAGUCGAGGGGUAGCAUGUUGGUUGCUUGCAACCGAUGAUGACGACCGGCGCACGGGUGAGUAACGCGUAUCCAACUUGGCUUAUACUUAGGGAUAACCCGUUGAAAGACGGCCUAAUACCUAAUGGUUUAUAAUAGUUGCAUGACUUUUAUAAUAAAGAUUUAUCGGUAUAAGAUAGGGAUGCGUCUGAUUAGUUAGUUGGUGAGGUAACGGCUCACCAAGGCAUCGAUCAGUAGGGGUUCUGAGAGGAAGGUCCCCCACAUUGGAACUGAGACACGGUCCAAACUCCUACGGGAGGCAGCAGUGAGGAAUAUUGGUCAAUGGACGUAAGUCUGAACCAGCCAAGUAGCGUGCAGGAUGACGGCCCUAUGGGUUGUAAACUGCUUUUAUGUGAGAAUAAAGUUAACUACGUGUAGUUAUUUGCAUGUAUCACGUGAAUAAGGACCGGCUAAUUCCGUGCCAGCAGCCGCGGUAAUACGGAAGGUCCAGGCGUUAUCCGGAUUUAUUGGGUUUAAAGGGAGCGUAGGCCGUUUGGUAAGCGUGCUGUGAAAUUUAGAGGCUCAACCUCUACCGUGCAGCGCGAACUGUCAGACUUGAGUGCGUAGUAGGUAGGCGGAAUUCGUGGUGUAGCGGUGAAAUGCUUAGAUAUCACGAAGAACUCCGAUUGCGAAGGCAGCUUACCGUAUCGCAACUGACGCUGAUGCUCGAAGGUGCGGGUAUCGAACAGGAUUAGAUACCCUGGUAGUCCGCACAGUAAACGAUGGAUGCUCGCUGUUGGCUUUUAUAGUCAGUGGCUUAGCGAAAGCGUUAAGCAUCCCACCUGGGGAGUACGCCGGCAACGGUGAAACUCAAAGGAAUUGACGGGGGCCCGCACAAGCGGAGGAACAUGUGGUUUAAUUCGAUGAUACGCGAGGAACCUUACCCGGGCUUGAACUGCAGGAGAACGAUUCAGAGAUGAUGAGGUCCUUCGGGACUCCUGUGGAGGUGCUGCAUGGUUGUCGUCAGCUCGUGCCGUGAGGUGUCGGCUUAAGUGCCAUAACGAGCGCAACCCCUUUUCUUAGUUGCCAUCGGGUGAUGCCGGGCACUCUGAGGAUACUGCCACCGUAAGGUGUGAGGAAGGUGGGGAUGACGUCAAAUCAGCACGGCCCUUACGUCCGGGGCUACACACGUGUUACAAUGGGGCAUACAGAGUGUUGGUUGCAUGUAAAUGUAAUCUAAUCUUUAAAGUGCUUCUCAGUUCGGACUGGGGUCUGCGACCCGACCCCACGAAGCUGGAUUCGCUAGUAAUCGCGCAUCAGCCAUGGCGCGGUGAAUACGUUCCCGGGCCU
RNAcentral lists this ribosomal RNA (1359 nucleotides) under uncultured bacterium. Its description in RNAcentral is "bacterial SSU rRNA". It matches the Rfam family "Bacterial small subunit ribosomal RNA", at positions 28 to 1381 of the family's 1533-position model. The record is from RNAcentral.